CCUACGGGGGGCAGCAGUAGGGAAUCUUGCGCAAUGGGCGAAAGCCUGACGCAGCCAUGCCGCGUGAAUGAUGAAGGUCUUAGGAUUGUAAAAUUCUUUCACCGGGGAAGAUAAUGACGGUACCCGGAGAAGAAGCCCCGGCUAACUUCGUGCCAGCAGCCGCGGUAAUACGAAGGGGGCUAGCGUUGCUCGGAAUUACUGGGCGUAAAGGGCGCGUAGGCGGAUAUCUAAGUCGGGGGUGAAAGCCCGGGGCUCAACCUCGGAAUUGCCUUCGAUACUGGAUAUCUUGAGUACGGGAGAGGUGAGUGGAACUCCGAGUGUAGAGGUGAAAUUCGUAGAUAUUCGGAAGAACACCAGUGGCGAAGGCGACUCACUGGCCCGUUACUGACGCUGAGGCGCGAAAGCGUGGGGAGCAAACAGGAUUAGAUACCCCAGUAGUC
This 440-nucleotide ribosomal RNA is filed under the name uncultured bacterium. Its description in RNAcentral is "bacterial SSU rRNA". It matches the Rfam family "Bacterial small subunit ribosomal RNA", at positions 338 to 795 of the family's 1533-position model. The record is from RNAcentral.